GACAGAGGUGCCAAGCGUUAGGCGGAAUCACUGGGCUUAAAGCGUGUGUAGGCGGAAUGGUAAGUACCUUGUGAAAUCCCACGGCUCAACCGUGGAACUGCUGGGUAUACUGCCCUUCUUGAGCCACUUAGGGGCUGUCGGAACAAACGGUGGAGCGGUGAAAUGCGUAGAUAUCGCUUGGAACGCCAACGGUGAAAACAGGUUGCUGGGGGUGUGCUGACGCUGAGACACGAAAGCCAGGGGAGCGAACGGG
This 253-nucleotide ribosomal RNA is filed under the name uncultured bacterium. RNAcentral describes it as "partial 16S ribosomal RNA". It matches the Rfam family "Bacterial small subunit ribosomal RNA", at positions 524 to 776 of the family's 1533-position model. The record is from RNAcentral.